RNAcentral lists this long non-coding RNA (1306 nucleotides) under Homo sapiens (human). RNAcentral's name for it is "HSALNT0173931". Lineage: Eukaryota; Metazoa; Chordata; Mammalia; Primates; Hominidae. The record is from RNAcentral.
CUGAAAUGAUGCCCUGGAUAUGGCAAAAUUCUGUACCCAGGAGACCCACGGGGCAAGGCCAGUGCCCUGGGCCUAGUUAGAACAGUCGGCCAGAACUUGGCAAGAGGCCCAGGGGAAGGCAUGUGUGUGCUGUGGACCUGAAGCCUGUCCCCUAUUUGCCCUCCCAGCAACCCCGGGAGGUGCCAAGGGGCUGCUGAGCCUGUUCUAUGACAGAUGCCCUCCCUUGGCCUGGCAGGUGAGCACAGGCGACUGAGCCCGCACAGGUCCCCUUACAGGCAGUGGUCACCCAUGGCCACAAGUGCGCUCCCCAGUCUCCAGCGAUCCCUGUAGCCCCUCUAGGACCUGCCUCCUGCCUGAUCUGAGCAUGACUCCACCUCCUGCUCCCACUCACCUGGACAUGUUCCUAAAGCUGCCCAUUCUCCAGUGAGUUGGAUUAAGGGGUGAGAAAAGAGGGAAGGGGAGACGCCACCUGGCUUAUGCCAGACCCUGGGCCUCCCCUCCUCCCACAUCCGUCAGUUACCAAGUUCCAAGUCCCAUCCACUCUUCCCUGGUCCAUUUCCCUCCAUCCCCCCAGCCACUGCCAAUCCAGGUCACCACUGUCACUCAGUUGGAUUCCUCAGCAGCCCCUAACUGGUCCCCUGGAGGUGGCCAUGCCCCCUUCCAUCCCUUCUUACCGCUGCAAAUGCAAACUUGGCUGUUUUGCACAUCCUGGGUUUGAAUUCUGUCUCCAUCACUUCCCAGCUAUGUGACCUUGAGCAAGUUACUCAACCUCUCCAUGCCUCUGACUCCUCUACCAAGAGGGGAUAAUAACAUACCUACCUCCCUGGAACUGUGCUGUGAGGCCUCAAUGGAAACCAAGCAAAGCACUUAGAACCCUGCCUGCCUAAGUGUUAGUAAUGGCUGCCCAGACCACCUGUCCAGCGGUUAGAGCUCAGGACCCAUGUGACAGGCUCUGAAGCUGCAGCCCCACAACGGAUGGCUACCUCUGCACAGGGAAAGACCUGGAUGCUCUAUUCAUUCAACAGAAUACAGAAGGCACUGGGAAUAGAGUGAACAAUGACAACCAAUGCACAGCUGCCCACAAGGUGGGCUCCUGGGGGAGGGUCAUCCCUCUGAGAAGAGGGCGGCACCAAGACCCACACACCUGAAAAAUGUGGUACUUCAUGUCGCUGAUCUCGAUGGUCUUGCUGCUGUCCCCAUCCUGUUCUGAUUUAUUGGUCAUUAGUGUCUUGAACCUGGAGCAAAGGAGACAAAGCAAGGUGGGUUUUGAACCUUUUACUUCACCACUGUGUGGCGAUGGCACCAU